Molecule: unclassified non-coding RNA, 230 nt
Filed under: Hevea brasiliensis (rubber tree)
Lineage: Eukaryota; Viridiplantae; Streptophyta; Magnoliopsida; Malpighiales; Euphorbiaceae
Source: RNAcentral
GAUAUUUGUCCGAUAUGCCCCUGAAGAUUUAGAGACUUACCUGUCGAAUUUGUUUUUUGGGACGAUUGACAUGGGGAGCUCAUCGUCAUCUCCUUCUACACCGUCGUUGUCGACGUCUUCUCAUCGGCCGCGAUCGCGCUUGUCGAGUUGAUUUUUUGAAAAUUUUUAAAGCGCAAGGGUAUAUUUGCAAAAUUUUGACCGUAUAUAUUACAUGUGCGGCUUUAUACGUG